UCCUGGGUGACUCAGUGGUAAAGAAUUUGCCUGCAAUGCAGGAGAUACAGGUUCAAACCCUGGGUCAGGAA
This 71-nucleotide transfer RNA is filed under the name Bos taurus (domestic cattle). It matches the Rfam family "tRNA". From Rfam's summary of the family: Transfer RNA (tRNA) molecules are approximately 80 nucleotides in length. Their secondary structure includes four short double-helical elements and three loops (D, anti-codon, and T loops). Further hydrogen bonds mediate the characteristic L-shaped molecular structure. tRNAs have two regions of fundamental functional importance: the anti-codon, which is responsible for specific mRNA codon recognition, and the 3' end, to which the tRNAs corresponding amino acid is attached (by aminoacyl-tRNA synthetases). tRNAs cope with the degeneracy of the genetic code in two manners: having more than one tRNA (with a specific anti-codon) for a particular amino acid; and 'wobble' base-pairing, i.e. permitting non-standard base-pairing at the 3rd anti-codon position. RNAcentral also lists the same sequence under 2 other names. Lineage: Eukaryota; Metazoa; Chordata; Mammalia; Artiodactyla; Bovidae. The record is from Rfam by way of RNAcentral.